RNAcentral lists this ribosomal RNA (274 nucleotides) under uncultured bacterium. RNAcentral describes it as "partial 16S ribosomal RNA". It matches the Rfam family "Bacterial small subunit ribosomal RNA", at positions 80 to 353 of the family's 1533-position model. The record is from RNAcentral.
UAAGUUUGAUGGCGACCGGCGCACGGGUGAGUAACACGUAUCCAACCUGCCGAUGACUCGGGGAUAGCCUUUCGAAAGAAAGAUUAAUACCCGAUGGCAUAGUUCUUCCGCAUGGUGGAACUAUUAAAGAAUUUCGGUCAUCGAUGGGGAUGCGUUCCAUUAGGUUGUUGGCGGGGUAACGGCCCACCAAGCCUUCGAUGGAUAGGGGUUCUGAGAGGAAGGUCCCCCACAUUGGAACUGAGAUACGGUCCAAACUCCUACGGGAGGCAGCAUG